CCUACGGGAGGCAGCAGUGAGGAAUAUUGGUCAAUGGGCGAGAGCCUGAACCAGCCAAGUCGCGUGAGGGAGUACUGCCCUAUGGGUUGUAAACCUCUUUUGUCGGGGAGCAAAAGCCGGACGUGUCCGGCUGUGAGAGUACCCGAAGAAAAAGCAUCGGCUAACGCCGUGCCAGCAGCCGCGGUAAUACGGAGGAUGCGAGCGUUAUCCGGAUUUAUUGGGUUUAAAGGGUGCGCAGGCGGAUUUUUAAGUCAGCGGUAAAAUCGUGGGGCUCAACCCCAUCCAGCCGUUGAAACUGGGGAUCUAGAGUGUGCGAGAGGUAUGCGGAAUGCGUGGUGUAGCGGUGAAAUGCAUAGAUAUCACGCAGAACCCCGAUUGCGAAGGCAGCAUACCGGUGCACAACUGACGCUCAGGCACGAAAGCGUGGGUAUCGAACAGGAUUAGAUACCCUUGUAGUC
This 458-nucleotide ribosomal RNA is filed under the name uncultured bacterium. RNAcentral describes it as "partial 16S ribosomal RNA". It matches the Rfam family "Bacterial small subunit ribosomal RNA", at positions 338 to 795 of the family's 1533-position model. The record is from RNAcentral.